AUGCCAUGUUUGGUUUCAUUCCAUUCAGUGGUUCUCUAAAAGAAGUCAUUUGUAUGCAUUUCCCUUAGGGUCCUAUGUUAAACUAAGUCCCCUGCUGGCGGCCAUCUUGGAUAAUGGAUCGGCUACAAAGUAACAACACUUGGUCAGCACCUCAUAAGGAACAUUCAUGCUAUGUUUGGUUUCAUUCCAUUCAGUGGUUCUCUAAAAGAAGUCAUUUGUAUGCAUUUCCCAUAGGGUCCUAUGUUAAACUAAGUCACCCGCUGGCGGCCAUCUUGGAUGAUGGAUCGGCUACAAAGUAACAACACUUGGUCAGCACCUCAUAAGGAACAUUCAUGCCAUGUUUGGUUUCAUUCCAUUUAGUAGUUCUCUAGAAGAAGUUCAAAAUGUAAAAAGUUAACGACGACGACGGA
Molecule: long non-coding RNA, 410 nt
Filed under: Mytilus galloprovincialis (Mediterranean mussel)
Lineage: Eukaryota; Metazoa; Mollusca; Bivalvia; Mytilida; Mytilidae
Source: RNAcentral